This 1430-nucleotide ribosomal RNA is filed under the name metagenome. Its description in RNAcentral is "bacterial LSU rRNA". It matches the Rfam family "Bacterial large subunit ribosomal RNA", at positions 1472 to 2925 of the family's 2925-position model. The record is from RNAcentral.
ACGCAGAAGGAGAGCACGAGCCGGAAAUGGAAAAGCCGGUACAAGCGUAUAGCAGUCAUGCAGGCAAAACCGCAUGAAAAAUGUAAAGCGUUAUGUGGAUCGAACAUUAGUAGAGAAGCGUGUGAGCCAGCUGCCAAGAAAAGCCGCUAUUGUUUCAUAAGUACCCGUACCGUAAACCGACACAGGUGGAUGAGGAGAGAAUCCUAAGGCCGGCGGGAGAAGUGUUGUUAAGGAACUCGGCAAAAUGACUCCGUAACUUCGGGAGAAGGAGUGCCACAGAGAUGUGGCCGCAGAGAAAUGGCCCAAGCAACUGUUUAGCAAAAACACAGGUCUAUGCAAAACCGAAAGGUGAGGUAUAUGGGCUGACGCCUGCCCGGUGCUGGAAGGUUAAGAGGAGAGGUUAGAGCAAUCGAAGCUUUGAAUUUAAGCCCCAGUAAACGGCGGCCGUAACAAUAACGGUCCUAAGGUAGCGAAAUUCCUUGUCGGGUAAGUUCCGACCCGCACGAAAGGCGUAAUGAUUUGGGCACUGUCUCAACAACACACCCGGUGAAAUUGAAAUACCAGUGAAGAUGCUGGUUACCUGCGCCAGGACGGAAAGACCCCAUGGAGCUUUACUCCAGUUUGAUACUGGGAUUCGGUACUGUCUGUACAGGAUAGGUGGGAGGCUAGGAAAUGGUGACGCCAGUUGCCAUGGAGCCAACCUUGGGAUACCACCCUUACAGUACUGGGUUUCUAACCUGCAGCCGUAACCCGGCUGGGGGACAAUGUCUGACGGGGAGUUUGACUGGGGCGGUCGCCUCCGAAAGAGUAUCGGAGGCGCUCAAAGGUUCCCUCAGAACGGUUGGAAACCGUUCGAAGAGUGCAAAGGCAGAAGGGAGCUUGACUGCGACACCGACGGGUGGAGCAGAUACGAAAGUAGGACUUAGUGAUCCGGUGGUAUAAAGUGGGAUUGCCAUCGCUCAACGGAUAAAAGCUACCCUGGGAUAACAGGCUUAUCACUCCCAAGAGUUCACAUCGACGGAGUGGUUUGGCACCUCGAUGUCGGCUCAUCGCAUCCUGGAGCUGUAGCAGGUUCCAAGGGUUGGGCUGUUCGCCCAUUAAAGCGGUACGCGAGCUGGGUUCAGAACGUCGUGAGACAGUUCGGUCCCUAUCCGGCGUGGGCGUAGGAUAUUUGAGAGGAGCUGUCCUUAGUACGAGAGGACCGGGAUGGACAAACCUCUGGUGUAUCUGUUGUUUUACCAAAGGCAUGGCAGAGUAGCCAAGUUUGGCAGGGAUAAACGCUGAAGGCAUCUAAGCGUGAAGCCCCCCUCAAGAUAAGAUAUCCCAUCUUCGGAGUAAGACCCCUUGAAGACUACAAGGUUGAUAGGCUUCAGGUGUAAGUGUGGUAACGCACUCAGCUGAGAAGUACUAAUAGGUCGAGGACUUAUGAA